ACGAACGCUGGCGGCGUGCUUAACCCCUUCAAGUCGAACGGAAAGGCCCUGCUUUUGUGGGGUGCUCGCGUGGCGAACGGGUGAGUAACACGUGAGUAACCUGCCCUCGACUUUGGGAUAACUUCAGGAAACUGGGGCUAAUACCGGAUAGGAGCUCCUGCUGCAUGGUGGGGGUUGGAAAGUUUCGGCGGUUGGGGAUGGACUCGCGGCUUAUCAGCUUGUUGGUGGGGUAGUGGCUUACCAAGGCUUUGACGGGUAGCCGGCCUGAGAGGGUGACCGGCCACAUUGGGACUGAGAUACGGCCCAGACUCCUACGGGAGGCAGCAGUGGGGAAUAUUGCACAAUGGGCGGAAGCCUGAUGCAGCAACGCCGCGUGCGGGAUGACGGCCUUCGGGUUGUAAACCGCUUUCGCCUGUAACGAAGCGUGAGUGACGGUAAUGGGUAAAGAAGCACCGGCUAACUACGUG
RNAcentral lists this ribosomal RNA (467 nucleotides) under uncultured bacterium. Its description in RNAcentral is "partial 16S ribosomal RNA". It matches the Rfam family "Bacterial small subunit ribosomal RNA", at positions 29 to 507 of the family's 1533-position model. The record is from RNAcentral.